AGAGAAGAGAGGCUCAAACUGAAAUCUGAGGAGCCUCAGCAUUCAGAACUCAACUGGGCGCUGUGGCUCAAGCCUGCAAUCCCAGCACUUUGGGAGGAUGAGGCAGGCAGAACACCUGAGGUUAGAAGUUUGAGGCCAACAUGGCCAAACUUCGUCUCUACUGAAAAUAUAAAAAUUAGCUGUGUGUGGUGGUGAGUGCCUGUAAUCCCAGCUACUCAGGAGGCUGAGGCAGAAGAGUCUAUUGAACCUGGAAGGCGAAGGUUGCAGUGAGCUGAGAUCACACCACUGCCCUCCAGCCUGGGCAACAGAGCAAGACUCCAUAUCAGAAAAAAAAAAAAAGAAAGAAAGAAAAAGAAAAUAACUCAAUGGAGCACAAGCAGCUGAGUAAUGCCCCAGGAAGCCGGCGUCAUUGUUGGACAGCUCAGAUGUUCAGGAUGUUUCAUUUUGAACCUACCUCAUUGGAAUUUCAAAAUAUUAGCCUCUUUGGAGCAAUACGGAGCAAGUCUGUUCCUUCAAGUAGAUGAAAAGUUCCCUGCAUGCCUUCCAUUGGACUUCUCCCCUUUAGCUUAAAAAUAGCCACAGUCCUGAAACAUGUCUCAGAAGCAGAUGUCACCCAAACCCUACUCUUCCAACUCAGCCAGCCAGCCACAUGCACGACCCCAAAGCAAAGAAGAGGCAGCGACCUGAGAAGCUACAUAUUGACUUGGCGCUACCACGGGUGUAGGAGCCUGCAUUGCUGAAUCACAGGAUGAAGGCGAAUCCCUGCCAGCCUCCAUCCGUCUCCAGCAUCAUUUUCCCCACUUACCCUGACUUGAAAUGAAGCUCAUGAAAGUGGUUCUUAUACCCUGAAGUCAAGGAGGCAUUGUUCAGCUGCAUCAUUUGCCUACUUCUCACAGCUUGAAAGGGGAAUAAAAGGCAGAUUGCCUCACCACCUUGCUAUUUUAGUCUCCUGAUGUCUUGUGGUCUCGGCACCUCUCCCUGUCUGUAAUUCCAUAUUGCUAGUUGUAAUCAAAUCCUACCUUGGAAAGGUCAGACUUG
RNAcentral lists this long non-coding RNA (1038 nucleotides) under Rhinopithecus bieti (black snub-nosed monkey). RNAcentral describes it as "lncRNA (ENSRBIG00000045633.1)". The record is from RNAcentral. Lineage: Eukaryota; Metazoa; Chordata; Mammalia; Primates; Cercopithecidae.